This 484-nucleotide ribosomal RNA is filed under the name uncultured bacterium. Its description in RNAcentral is "partial 16S ribosomal RNA". It matches the Rfam family "Bacterial small subunit ribosomal RNA", at positions 30 to 507 of the family's 1533-position model. The record is from RNAcentral.
AUUGAACGCUGGCGGAAUGCUUUACACAUGCCAGUCGAGCGGCAGCACGGGGGCAACCCUGGUGGCGAGCGGCGAACGGGUGAGUAACACAUCGGAACAUGCCCAGUCGUGGGGGAUAACACUUCGAAAGAAGUGCUAAUACCGCAUACGUCCUGAGGGAGAAAGCGGGGGAUCGCAAGACCUCGCGCGAUUGGAGUGGCCGAUGUCAGAUUAGCUAGUUGGUGGGGUAAAGGCCUACCAAGGCAACGAUCUGUAGCUGGUCUGAGAGGAUGAUCAGCCACACUGGGACUGAGACACGGCCCAGACUCCUACGGGAGGCAGCAGUGGGGAAUUUUGGACAAUGGGGGCAACCCUGAUCCAGCCAUUCCGCGUGAGUGAAGAAGGCCUUCGGGUUGUAAAGCUCUUUCGGCAGGAACGAAACGGUGAGCUCUAACAUAGCUUGCUAAUGACGGUACCUGAAGAAGAAGCACCGGCUAACUACGUG